GCAAUUCUCCUAGUUCUUGUUGGAUGUAUAGUAAUAUUGCCCUAAAAAAAAGGCAUUGAACAAUGUAAAACAUUAGAAGCAAACCAGUGGCCAAAGAAGCAGCGAAUGCGUACAUCCUCUACAAAUAUCGAAGAUGAUGGAUUAAGUAUUUAAGUUACUAACACAGAGAAACAAAAAUAGACCCAAGGCAGAAUCGAGGAGAAACCUGAAUAGGAGAGAGAGAACAGAGACACUCCGAUCCAUCCUCAAGGAAACUAUCGGAUGAAGAGAUCGUUCAGCCUCUACAUCUUUCUAGUACUGUUUUAGUUUUUACCGGAUGAUCGGACUAUCGGAGAAUUCACCGUUGAAAAUAAAACCAAAAUGUGGCUCGCACCUCUUGAUCAAUGAUGAUGUGUGAAUCAUCUCUCAACUCUUGGGCCACGUUAAGCCCAAGUCCAAUAAGGGUAAUUAAUUUGAUAAUCGCUC
This 465-nucleotide long non-coding RNA is filed under the name Capsella rubella. RNAcentral's name for it is "long non-coding RNA (CRUB_LNC002049)". The record is from RNAcentral. Lineage: Eukaryota; Viridiplantae; Streptophyta; Magnoliopsida; Brassicales; Brassicaceae.